CCCCUCUAGUUUGUGACUGGGAUGCCGAGGAUCACAAAGCGGGUGUGAAUAACCAUGCAAACUUACAUGGUGCCCUCACAUGUUACAGUCACCUAUUCGAUGUGCCGGUAAACCACACACGCUCCACCGAACUAUGACAAACAUUGAGUCACCCUUUGCUACCUUUGCUUAGAACCAUUUAGUGUGCCGGUAAACCACACACGCUCCACUAACGUCUUCGCAAGGGCACAAAGUGUAAUUUCAUGGAAUUGCAUCAAUUCACUUUUGCCUAAGUAACUAAGAUUGGGAAUUUGUAAAACAUUUAGUUACUUUUGUACUUCAUUAUACUUAUAAUGGAAGGUUUUGUCCUAUCCUACCCGUUCGGCUAACGACCCUCCACUAGUCAAGAGUGCGGUGGGUAAGAGUGGAUACCCAUUCAAUCGCCAUUUUAUAGGCAAUUUCCUUAAACACCCCUUAUAGACCAGCUUCGUGAAUGAGGCCUACUAACGGUAAGACUGACUUUUACUCAUACAUAUAUAUAAUGUUAGACUUUUAAUGUUAUAUAUAGUAUAGGGUGUAUUUUACACUUUUAAAAUACUAGGUGGUCAAAUUUAACAAUUAUACUUUUAAUUCAAUUAAAUUGUAAACCAAAACUUUUAUGGAUUUAUUAAACCUCUUUUAAUUAUACACCUUAAUUAAUUAAUAAAACCAUAAGGGUGUGAUUUGAACUUUUCAAAACAAUACUAGGGUUUUAGAAUUUAACAUUCCUAAAUUAAACUUUUAAUCAACUUUUAAAUUCCAAAACUUGAGGGCAAGUUUUGAAACAUUUCAAAACAUUAGGGUUUAGAAUUUAAAUAUACAUCAAAAUUAAACUUUUAAUCAAAAUUUAAAUUCCAAAACUUGAGGGCAAGUUUUGAAACCUUUUCAAAACAUUAGGGUUUCAACUAUUUAAAUUUCAAAACAAAACUUUUGAGUUCAAAUUUAAACUAUAAAACCUAAAGGGGAAAAUUGAAACUUUUCAUAACACAAGGAUCAAAUAACAAAUAAUAUAAAUUAAACAAUUAAUUUCAUCAUUAUCUAUAUUUGACCUAAUUUCAAUUUCUUGCAAAAUAAGUUACCCAAUUAAUACAAAUAAUCAACUUUAAUCAUAUAAGGAAGUUAUUAUCUAAUCAAUUGGUAAUUAUCUUUUGUUUAAUCAAGGAUAUACUCAAAAAUAUGAAUAAAAUCGGAUUUUAAUGAUCUAAAACAGAUAAGGCAAGUAUCCAUGAGAAAAACAGCAAGAAAUCCCGAAAUCCCCUCUUUCUGACGCUCGAACUCGCCGAGUACCCAUAUGGACUCGCCGAGUAGGGGCCUACUCGCCGAGUCCACAAUGGGACUCGCCGAGUUCAUCAGGCAGUUUCACAAAAAUCGAAUUUUUCAACUUGAACAAACAUACAAGGCAUCAAUACAAUAGAAACCAAUCUAGGCUCUGAUACCACUGAUGGGUUUUGGUCAUAAGAACAUCCUAUGUGCUCAUACAAACCCUAAUGCUUGGAUCUAGGUUUCUCUAUUGUACAUGCAAUUCAUCCAAGACUAUAAACCCUAGAUCUAGCAUAUGAUAAUCAAUAUAACAUAUAAAUUAGGGUUUAGAUCAUACCUUGAUUGUUAUGUAGCAAUAACAAUCUCAAAUCCUCCUUGUAUUGACUUUAGAAAGCUUAGAGUCACAAAUGUCACUCCUCUAAUGGUUCACAAACACCAAGAGCAAGAGGAUGAAGAAGAGAAGAGAAGGAGGCUCUCAAAAACGUGUGGAAACCCUAGACAAUUAGUUCACCACGUUUUUGGAGCAUAAGGGUUCUAUAUAUAGUGAGGCUAUUAGGGUUAUCUAACAAGGAAACCCUAAUUUGGAUGCUUAAGCCCUAAGCAACCCAUGGACUCCUUUCCUUAAAGGCCUUGGACGAUUUCUAAUGGGUUUCCCCAUAGAAUUCGUCCAACCUUAUAAUAUAAGGCAAUCCAUGGCCCAAUUGCAAUUAUCUUAUAAUUACAAUUCCAGUCCCUUAAGUUUAAUUAAUCUCUUUUAGUCACAAACUUAAUUCUUAUUAAUUCUUGACUAAUAUUAAUUAAACAAUAUGAUUUCUCCUUUAAUAUAUUAUUCUCAUAAUAUAUUAAUAAAUCAUAUUUAAUCCUUUCUCUCCAUAAUUCAUCCUAUCAAGUUGCUUUGGUGAAGGCAACCCAAAAGGACCAUGCACCAUCGGGUCAAGUACAUACCAAAAUAGUUAUGGACUUAGACACUAAUCCAACAGUCUCCCACUUGGAUAAGUCUAAUAACUAUUCUGCGUAUGACUUCAGAUCCUGAUCUGCAAUCGUAGCUUUCCAAAGCCGCUGUCAACUCUGAUCCUAUCAGAUACACGUGUCCUUUAGAUAAGGGAUCAUAUAUUCCUCCAUUCUAGAUAUCGUAUGAGACAUGAUUUCUAAUCAUUCUCUCUGUACUAUUUCUCGACUUCCGAUUUAUGACGACUGACUAAUUGAACAAAUCAAAUUAGCCCUAGCCCGGCCGAGCAUUUACGUUUGUCAUCACUAAAUCAUCGAGGGGCCCAAAGAUAUCGCUUUUAUCCUACUUUGGAUAAAAGGAACGGAUAAACUUUGAUUCAAUGCUCGCUUGCACUCACUCACCGAAUCACACACAACAAUAUGUUUUAUAACACCAAGUUACUGGUGCGUUUACAUAUUAUCAAUGUGUAACCGACUCGCAAGAUACAACUCACACAUCUCGGUUUCAAGAAUAUAAGAUAUUAUCGUCUCACCAAUCACUCGUGAUAAAAUCCAUGAAGUGAUCCAAGUGAGCGUGGGUUUAAUCCAAUGCUCAAAUCAUAUUCAUAAGCACUCAUGAACGUUGCAGCAAACAUUUGCUUAUGUCUAAUACACUUUAGACAAUCCACACACCAAUUCACGACAGUCUUCAUUCAUACCUACUUCCAACAUAUGAACGACUGUGGUCCGUUCGAAUAAUUUGAUUGUUCUGAACCAAUUUAAUUAUUCAGGAAGUCAAAACAUGCAAAGUGAAACACAAGAAUAAUACUAAUCCCAUAUGGUCCCAAACCUUUGAGUAUAAAUAAAACACCUUUUAUUUAUCACCAUAUCGAUUACUCAUUAUUUGUUGUUUCGGGUAAUCAACUUCUUACUUGAAUUAUUACUACACUUGUCCCAUGCUCUUAGCAUGCACACAAUGUUUACCUAUGGUCCUUACUUUGUGAAAUAGAUCAAAUGAACACAUUUCCAAUCAUACUCAUUUCACAACUCCCAAUCCUUAUCAUAAGUAUAAGAAUAUCAAAUUCUUGCCACUUAUAGAAUAUGCUAGAUUCUAACAUUUUAUGCAAUGAUCCUUUCGUAAAGUCAUAGCUCAAAAUCAUCAAGACUUGGCCAAUCUCUAUCAGAAACAAUUCUAUAGAUAUGAUGUCUCUCACUCAAAGUACAUUCCUUUGAACAUCCUUCUUGCAUAAAAGUUUCUAAUCUAGACAUAGACUCUCAAUAUCCAACUCCCAAUAUGGAAACAUUUCCAUAUUUGCCAUAUGACAACUCAUUCUUAAUAGAAUCUUAUCUAUUCAUAAUAAUGUCGAUAUGGUCCAUCCAAUACCAUACUUCCAACUACUCACAAGCGACCAAUCCUCAGCGAACUUUGGAUCGUCCUUUGAUAGUUGUUUAAUUAUUUUAGUCAAAACCGAUUCUAGUCCUUUUUCCCUCUUAAUGCGCUAGACAUUUGGAAAAUUUUAGAAUGGUCAAAUAUUAUAGCAUUUGCAAUCGAUCCUAUACCCGAAGCGUAUGGGACACGAUGCAUAAUGUCUUACAUAAAGAUAUGAUACUUUAUCAAUCUUCUGCCAUAAUAUUUUAUGUGUCACGUUCUCACAAUUCGAACUAUGAAGAGGAAUGCCGUAAUCAUAAUCGAAAUUUGAGAACACACUAUGUUUCCUUGACUAAUUUAUUAACAUUCCACAACCUAAGCCUUUAGAUUUGAAAUGAAGCAUAAUAUUCUCUCCCUUAAUUAUAGCAAAACAACUAUUCAACCCUUACGACUUUGCAAAGUAUAACUCUUGUUUUCUAUAAUUAAUAUUGCUAACUUGCAAUACUUGCCUUAAUAAUCAUACAAGCACAACAUUUAUGCUCCCACUAUCAUGAUGAUUAUUAUCAUAUAAGCAUAACACUUAUGCUCCCACUAGCUUUGACAUGUAUUCAGAAAACAUCUUAACUUCCAGAAAAACAAUACCUAUUGAAUUUCUUAAGUUCAUAUUUUUUAAUACUUAAUGCUUUGAUAAUCCUUUAUCUAAGCUUAUACACCUUUGCCUUAGAUAGCUCAUAUGUGUGUCUAAACAAUUCAGACUAAUUGUCAAAUCUCACAAUUCGAAUCAUGGAAAGGGAUACCGUAACCAUAAUUGAAUUCGAGAACCCAAUUUUCACAAUCACUGUAUUCUUAAAAUCUUUCUUAGUGAAAGCAUUUCCUCACAGUCAUCUUNNNNNNNNNNNNNNNNNNNNNNNNNNNNNNNNNNNNNNNNNNNNNNNNNNNNNNNNNNNNNNNNNNNNNNNNNNNNNNNNNNNNNNNNNNNNNNNNNNNNCUUGUUUUGGAACGAAGUAUGAUUGACUUUUGAUUCAACCAUUUCAUCAAUUCUUGAUUCCUCUUCUAAAAAUCACUUAGAGGAUCAAUUGAGAUAUGGUUCUUAAUCAUUAAGACCUAUCAUAAAACAUAAUAAAAGGUACUCUCCCUUCUUCUUAUAAUAGAGAAACUUUUAUCUUUCUGCCUACUUGAUUCUUCUUAUUCGUUCUGCUAUUGAUUUAAACCUUUUCAAUCAAUUCAGAAUUACACUUAAUCUUAUAAGUAUAAUCAUAUUUACUAAACCUUUAGUAAAUCAUGACGAAUAUCUUUGUUACUCUUAUGGUGGACUUGAUCAACACGCAACUUUGUGUACUCGAUCUCCUAGUCCUUCACUUGACACUUUGUCAAUGAAUUAGUCUAAUUUCCAAAUAUGAAAUUUCUCAUUCAUCAUGCAACCAAGUUGUAUGAUUCCAAGUUUCUGUCCAAUUGAAACUUGGGCGAUGAGAAACUUUCCCUAUUUGGUAAAUUCUUGACCUUUCCACAAUUAACAUAAUUAAGAAUCAAAUCCAUUAUUGCUAAUAAUAGAAACUUACAAACAUCAAUUUUUUUCAUACACGCCAUUGCAAGGAUAAAUAAAUAAUCAAAAUAUAUUUUAUUGCGGAAAAAUUUGUCCUUACAAUGCUAUUCAUUUAAAAACUAUGUUAAUACAUAUUUCUUAGCAAUCUAUUCUAACUCUAAGUAGUAGCUCAAGAUUCUAAUCUUCAAAUAAUGCGAUCGUAAUCCAUUUCUUCAUGAUUAGAUUCCGCUCACUUCUUCCCUUAAGCUUCCUCUCUUUUCUUCGAUCCUACAAAACAUUGAAAUGUAAUCUUAUCACAUCAUGUAUUAAGAAUCUAGAAUAGGAACUUAAAAGAGUUAGUUAAUGGAUUUUACCUAAAGUNUUUUGACUCUCCCAUUUCUUAGAUCUCUUAGGUAAAUAAAGCAGCUUCGUCUCCAAUGCCCCUUCUCUUGGCAAUAAAAGCAAAUUGACUCUUUCAGAACAGCACAUGGAACUGAUGGGUUUGAGCCAUAAGAACAUUCCUAUGUGUACAUACANNNNNNNNNNNNNNNNNNNNNNNNNNNNNNNNNNNNNNNNNNNNNNNNNNNNNNNNNNNNNNNNNNNNNNNNNNNNNNNNNNNNNNNNNNNNNNNNNNNNAUCCAUAGAGGUCUGGAAGGUAGAUUCACCAAUCAACUUUGCUUUCCUUUGCGCCAAACCAUUGCUGGUUCAAUAGCAAUAAGCAUAUAGGUGAGAUCUAUAAGGGUCACGUCACGGUUCAUCAUAUAGUACUCUCUUACGAACUUACUAUACAAGUUAGGAAGUGACUGAAGAACCCAGUCAAUAGCCAGCUCCUCACAGACAACGAAUCCCAACAUUCUUAACCUAUCAAUGUGUGACUUCAUCUCUAGGAUGUGUGCACACACCGACUUUCCUUCUUCAUGUUUACUUGCCAAAAGGGCUUGAGUGAGCUUGAACUUUUCAAGCCUUCGAACUUNGGAGGAGGUGGAGGAAAUGAAGCAUGAUCUCUUGUUCCUCGAUCGAAUCGUGGAAUAUCAUCUUCAUGUGGAAAGCUUGUUCCAUGGGAUUUGGGAAUACCAUAGAUGUCAUACUUUGACAUCUACAAAAUGGGAGAAAACAAAUUCAAGUUAUUUGAUUGAUUGAGUCCUUAAUAAAUCACCCAAAUGAGAUAUUAAGGCUAGGACCCAACACAAUACGCUACAACCUAGAAAAGGGAUGUCGUAAUCUAGUUGCAGACUAUUUGAAGGUAAGUGAAUGACAAUUCACUAAUUUUCCACCAUGAAAAACAAAAAACCGAUUAAGUUUUAAAUGCUUUGAAAACUCCUAGAUCCUUUGAGAUUCAUUUAACUUUUCAAUGGCAUGUUUAAAUCUCGAUAUGCCCCUCGAAUUGUGACUGGGAUGCCGAGGAUCACAAAACAGGGUGUGAAUAACCAUGGAAACUUACAUGGUGCCCCCACAUGUUACAGUCAUCUAUUUGAUGUGCCAGUAAACCACACACGCUCCACCGAACUAUGACAAACAUUGAGUCACCCUUUGCUACCUUCGCUUAGAACCAUUUAGUGUGCCGGUAAACCACACACGCUACACUAACGUCUUCGCAAGGGCACAAAGUGUAAUUUCAUGGAAUUGCAUCAAUUCACUUUUGCCUAAGUAACUAAGAUUGGGAAUUUUAUGAAAACAUUUAGUUACUUUUGUACUUCAUUAUACUUAUAAUGGAAGGUUUCGUCCUAUCCUACCCGUUCGGCUAACGACCCUCCACUAGUCAAGAGUGCGGUGGGUAAG
RNAcentral lists this long non-coding RNA (6875 nucleotides) under Lactuca sativa (garden lettuce). RNAcentral's name for it is "long non-coding RNA (LSAT_LNC003468)". Lineage: Eukaryota; Viridiplantae; Streptophyta; Magnoliopsida; Asterales; Asteraceae. The record is from RNAcentral.